GCUCUGAUGGCCGAGUGGUUAAGGCGUUGGAUUUGAAAUCUAAUGGGAUUUCCCGCGUAGGUUCGAGCCCUGCUCACAGCG
Tachysurus vachellii is the source of this 81-nucleotide non-coding RNA. NCBI's taxonomy places the organism in Eukaryota, Metazoa, Chordata, Actinopteri, Siluriformes, Bagridae. The record is from the annotation of a RefSeq genome assembly.